This 72-nucleotide transfer RNA is filed under the name Diaphorina citri (Asian citrus psyllid). It matches the Rfam family "tRNA". From Rfam's summary of the family: Transfer RNA (tRNA) molecules are approximately 80 nucleotides in length. Their secondary structure includes four short double-helical elements and three loops (D, anti-codon, and T loops). Further hydrogen bonds mediate the characteristic L-shaped molecular structure. tRNAs have two regions of fundamental functional importance: the anti-codon, which is responsible for specific mRNA codon recognition, and the 3' end, to which the tRNAs corresponding amino acid is attached (by aminoacyl-tRNA synthetases). tRNAs cope with the degeneracy of the genetic code in two manners: having more than one tRNA (with a specific anti-codon) for a particular amino acid; and 'wobble' base-pairing, i.e. permitting non-standard base-pairing at the 3rd anti-codon position. The record is from Rfam by way of RNAcentral. Lineage: Eukaryota; Metazoa; Arthropoda; Insecta; Hemiptera; Psyllidae.
GCCUCGGUGGCGUAGUGGUCAAGACGCUCGCCUGGUAAACAGGAGGGCGUGGGUUUGAUCCCAACCGAGGCA